GCGCUGGUAGUUUAGUGGUAAAAUAGACGCCUUCCACCCGUAGGGAGAUAGCAUCAGCCCCGGGUUCAAUUCCCGGUCAGCGCA
Molecule: non-coding RNA, 84 nt
Organism: Zopfochytrium polystomum
Lineage: Eukaryota; Fungi; Chytridiomycota; Chytridiomycetes; Chytridiales; Chytridiaceae
Source: the annotation of a GenBank genome assembly